UUUCAAAUCCCUUACCAAAAUAUAUGAGUUCCAAUCACACAUAUAUAUAACUGAGGACAGAAGUGGUAACAAAAUACAAAAUAUCAAAAUACAAAGGACCACUUCUUUCAUUAUGUGAUUGGACUCAUUAGAGUGCACGACAAGUCCUGCACUCAAGGGUUUGUAGAUCCAUGUGAUCCUCAUAGACUCCAAGGGGUAGGUCAGCGAUUAGUUCCUUACUAUCUUCGUAAUUUGGGGGGAGUAUGGAAAUGGUGAGUUCUAUAUACUUAGUAAGAAAAACAACAUUUAAAUAAUAACAUAAGAUUUUAAGAGUGAAUAAUUAUAUCAUUAAUACUUACUAUCAUGUCACGUCAGGGUCCUUUCUUAUUUUAUGAAAAUAAUUUUAUUUAUUAAAAGAAACAUCAUGUCAUAGUCACAACAAUCAAAUCAAAAUCAUACUUAACAAUAGAAAAAAUAAAAUAAAUAAUGAAAUGCUUAGAUUUUUGUGUCAUCCUUCAUGAAAUUGUUCCAACUUCCAUCUGUGAGGGCAAAUACGAAUUUUUGACUACCCAUGUGGAAUGACUAGAUUAGAUAUAUAACGGCAAUUCGUUCAAGCACAUUUCUGGCUUGUCAAACUAUGGUAUAAUCUGUGACCAUGGUCGUACCAACCAAAGUGGUUCUAUCAGAUAUUCUAUAGUCAUGACAGUACUUAGCCAAAGGUGACCCCUAAUAGAUAAUCACAUCACCGCUCUCGUCAGAGGGUACACCGACAUCUACAGAGAGCGGCGUCUUUUUAGACUAAAUAGGGGAGGAAAAAAAAGAAAACCCUCAGAGAUAAA
RNAcentral lists this long non-coding RNA (818 nucleotides) under Carica papaya (papaya). RNAcentral's name for it is "long non-coding RNA (CPAP_LNC010314)". The record is from RNAcentral. Lineage: Eukaryota; Viridiplantae; Streptophyta; Magnoliopsida; Brassicales; Caricaceae.